UACAGAGGUCCCAAGCGUUGUUCGGAUUCACUGGGCGUAAAGGGUGCGUAGGUGGCGGGGUAAGUUUGAUGUGAAAUCUCCGGGCUUAACCCGGAAACUGCAUUGAAUACUAUUCUGCUGGAGGUUUGGAGGGGGGACUGGAAUUCUCGGUGUAGCAGUGAAAUGCGUAGAUAUCGAGAGGAACACCAGUGGCGAAGGCGAGUCCCUGGACAACACCUGACACUGAGGCACGAAAGCUAGGGGAGCAAACAGG
RNAcentral lists this ribosomal RNA (253 nucleotides) under uncultured bacterium. Its description in RNAcentral is "partial 16S ribosomal RNA". It matches the Rfam family "Bacterial small subunit ribosomal RNA", at positions 524 to 776 of the family's 1533-position model. The record is from RNAcentral.